RNAcentral lists this ribosomal RNA (459 nucleotides) under Salmonella enterica subsp. enterica serovar Cerro. Its description in RNAcentral is "bacterial SSU rRNA". It matches the Rfam family "Bacterial small subunit ribosomal RNA", at positions 338 to 795 of the family's 1533-position model. The record is from RNAcentral. Lineage: Bacteria; Pseudomonadati; Pseudomonadota; Gammaproteobacteria; Enterobacterales; Enterobacteriaceae.
CCUACGGGUGGCAGCAGUGAGGAAUAUUGGUCAAUGGGCGAGAGCCUGAACCAGCCAAGUAGCGUGCAGGAAGACGGCCCUAUGGGUUGUAAACUGCUUUUAUGCGGGAAUAAAGUGGGGGAGCAUCCCUGUUUGCAUGUACCGCAUGAAUAAGGACCGGCUAAUUCCGUGCCAGCAGCCGCGGUAAUACGGAAGGUCCGGGCGUUAUCCGGAUUUAUUGGGUUUAAAGGGAGCGUAGGCCGGAGAUUAAGCGUGUUGUGAAAUGUAGAUGCUCAACAUCUGCACUGCAGCGCGAACUGGUUUCCUUGAGUACGCACAAAGUGGGCGGAAUUCGUGGUGUAGCGGUGAAAUGCUUAGAUAUCACGAAGAACUCCGAUUGCGAAGGCAGCUCGCUGGAGCGCUACUGACGCUGAAGCUCGAAAGUGCGGGUAUCGAACAGGAUUAGAUACCCUAGUAGUC